RNAcentral lists this ribosomal RNA (396 nucleotides) under uncultured bacterium. RNAcentral's name for it is "bacterial SSU rRNA". It matches the Rfam family "Bacterial small subunit ribosomal RNA", at positions 28 to 429 of the family's 1533-position model. The record is from RNAcentral.
GACGAACGCUGGCGGCGUGCUUAACACAUGCAAGUCGAGCGGUAAGGCCCUUUCGGGGGUACACGAGCGGCGAACGGGUGAGUAACACGUGGGUGACCUGCCCUCAGCUCUGGGAUAAGCCUGGGAAACCGGGUCUAAUACUGGAUAUGACUCCAUGACGCAUGUUGUGGGGUGGAAAGCCUUGUGCGGCUGAGGAUGGGCCCGCGGCCUAUCAGCUUGUUGGUGGGGUGAGGCCUACCAAGGCGACGACGGGUAGCCGGCCUGAGAGGGCGACCGGCCACACUGGGACUGAGACACGGCCCAGACUCCUACGGGAGGCAGCAGUGGGGAAUCUUGCGCAAUGGGCGAAAGCCUGACGCAGCGACGCCGCGUGAGGGAUGACGGCCUGGUUGUAAC